RNAcentral lists this ribosomal RNA (420 nucleotides) under uncultured bacterium. RNAcentral's name for it is "bacterial SSU rRNA". It matches the Rfam family "Bacterial small subunit ribosomal RNA", at positions 358 to 769 of the family's 1533-position model. The record is from RNAcentral.
GGAAUAUUGCGCAAUGGGCGAAAGCCUGACGCAGCAACGCCGCGUGAGUGAUGAAGGUCUUCGGAUCGUAAAGCUCUGUCGGCAGGGAAGAAAAUCCAUUUGGCUAAUAUCCAAGUGGACUGACGGUACCUGCAAAGGAAGCACCGGCUAACUCUGUGCCAGCAGCCGCGGUAAGACAGAGGGUGCAAACGUUGUUCGGAAUUACUGGGCGUAAAGCGCGUGUAGGCGGCUCGGAAAGUCGGAUGUGAAAGCCCUGGGCUCAACCCAGGAAGUGCACCCGAAACUUUCGAGCUGGAGUCCUGGAGAGGAAGGCGGAAUUCUCGGUGUAGAGGUGAAAUUCGUAGAUAUCGAGAGGAACACCGGUGGCGAAGGCGGCCUUCUGGACAGUGACUGACGCUGAGACGCGAAAGCGUGGGGAGC